RNAcentral lists this long non-coding RNA (949 nucleotides) under Equus caballus (horse). RNAcentral describes it as "lncRNA (ENSECAG00000051602.1)". Lineage: Eukaryota; Metazoa; Chordata; Mammalia; Perissodactyla; Equidae. The record is from RNAcentral.
CUCCGUGCAGACGCUGUGUGAAGCGCUGGGGUCGGAGGUCACUGUCAGGGGCCUCUGUACUGCACGCCCACUGGGUGCCUGGGCUUUACCUGCUGUCCCGUGUGAUGCCCACUGCCACCCCCGAGAGGGAGGCCCAAGUCCUCUCACCCCACCGUGGAGGAGGCCGGACAUGCAGUCGUUGAACACAGGCCCCACCCCUCCGCCCUGCUCCCUCUCCAGCCGCAGAACUCGGGGCUCGAGGGUAAGGGCCUCAUUGCAGUUCGGAUGGCUGGCACAGCCGGGUCCCCAGCCCCCCAUCUCUGUGGCCUCUUCGUCCACCACCCCAUUUCUCUGGUUCUCAGGCCUCUGCUUUCCAAAGGCCCAGGAGAGCGAGGCUCUGCGACUGCCCCCAGGGAGAGAGCCCAAGUACAGGAUUUCCAGGCUCCCUCUUCUCAACGUGCGCAGCUUCUUCCUCCAGCACCAGCUCAGAGAAGAAGGUACUGUUGGCCAGACCGCGUCACAGAAGAGGAAACACGGGCCACAGAGGGCUCGCCUGUGUGCCUCUGAUCACACAGCUGGGAAGGCACUGAGCUGGAGUUCAGCCCCAGGCAGCCUUGCUCAGACCCCACCCCUCAGCCACUCUGUUCUGAGGGUUUGGGGCACCUGCCUGGGCGUGCAGGAGAUGAGACUGGCCACAUAAGCAGGAAUAAGGUCCGAAGGGUCUUCCUUUCUUCACAAGGCCUUAGAUGUUCUUGAUCCAAGGACCCUGCACCUCUUGGGAUCCGUGAAAGUAACAGUGCCGUGGUGCGUGUGUACAUGUGUGUGUGCACAUGUGUGUGUGCGCAUGCUGAGGAAGGCCAUCUGCCUUUCUCUAUAAGGAGGCCGUAUGAGGAAACGAUGCAGCAACUUUGCUUUUGACUGGACCUGGAUCUGCUCGCUAUAGGAACAGUGGGUGUCGGACGCUCAGCGC